RNAcentral lists this long non-coding RNA (437 nucleotides) under Homo sapiens (human). RNAcentral describes it as "LNC_000749". Lineage: Eukaryota; Metazoa; Chordata; Mammalia; Primates; Hominidae. The record is from RNAcentral.
CCUGGCUCUGCUGUUGCAGCUGCUGCAGGGCCCCGAGGCGGGCCUCCUCCUGCUGCAGAAACGGGAAGACGUGGCAGUGGAAGCAGUCCGUGAUCUUGCGGAUCUUCUGUCCGAUCUGCUCACCCCAGUAGGAGAUGAGGAAGGUCAUCCACGUGGCUGGCUCGCCCGUCACGGGGUGCUCCAGCGGCUGCUCCAGCUCCCUGAAGCUGGCAAUGAGGAAGCCGCGGCAGGCCCUCCAGAGCAGGCGCUCUAGGGCAGGGGCCUUGUGGGGCUCCACGGCACCUGCCACAAAGUUGACCCUCAGGUCCUGGUGCGGCCCCCCGGGGGCCUGGAGCAGGGGCGUCCUCUCUGAGGCCCCAUCUGUGUGGGCGGCUGCCAGCUGAGGUUCAUGGCCCUGGCGUAGCACGGCGGCGUGGAGCUGCAGCUGGUGCAGCUGG